UUUGGCAACCGUCCAUUCAGUGAGCAAGUUCUGUGGGGAUCUGGGGUUGUCUCAGUGAAUAAAGUGCCCAUCCGGACCGCCUCACUUGGCUAUAAGCUGACGCGGACUGAUGGCCAAUUGCAAGGUAUUCACGUUUGGAUCGAUAUCCCAGGCACAAGCUCGUUAACCCCAAUCCUAUCACCUCAUACAUGUGAAGCAGAUUGUUUUUAAUGUGAUGACAUUUUCGGUGUCUGAACCUGAGUCCUGAUGCAGUAAAAAGCCUGAACGCAAGCAGACAUCCAUCCGUGUCACUCUCCGCACAGCCCGUAAAGUGACGCCCGCAAGUUAAUAGAGGUCCGCUCACAGCGCACAGGGUUCGGCCCGAAUUGAUGACCUUGAUGGAUUUCCGGUUGUCCCUGCUCUUAUUUCCCGUCUCCUUGAGAUUCUAGCUCUUUAAGUGGAAUCUGGAAACCUCCCUCACUAUCUGUAGAUUGGUUCCUUUCUCCAAGAUGGUGGAGCUUGAAGCCUGUCUGUGCUAUUUUUUUUUAACCUAGUUUAAUCUCUGUGUUUUUCUUCAACCACAUUAAUGUGCAGACUUUAUGGGUGGGAUGGGCAACCCCCCCCCAAAGAUACACCACCUCACCUCCUGGAGUCAUUUGCAUGUUACCCCAUUUUCUAUCUCUGCAGGGACAAGCCAAUUGCUCUCCACAGUAUUAUCUCAACCACCAAUGGAUUCAACUUAAAAUUACUUCUGAAUCUCAUGGCUGCAUCUCGUCCCCUCUUCCCCCCAGAGCUGAGGACCGAACCCAGAGCCUUGCACUUGCUAGGCAAGCGCUCUACCACUGAGCUAACUCUCCCACCCUCUCUUAUUUUUAUUUA
This 858-nucleotide long non-coding RNA is filed under the name Rattus norvegicus (Norway rat). Its description in RNAcentral is "long non-coding RNA NONRATT027276". Lineage: Eukaryota; Metazoa; Chordata; Mammalia; Rodentia; Muridae. The record is from RNAcentral.